UCGUGUCGUGAGAUGUUGGGUUAAGUCCCGCAACGAGCGCAACCCUCACCUCUUGUUGCCAUCAGGUCAUGCUGGGCACUCUAGAGGAACUGCCCCGGUCAACGGGGAGGAAGGCGGGGAUGACGUCAAGUCAUCAUGCCCCUUACGUCCUGGGCUACACACGUGCUACAAUGGCCGGUACAAGGGAUGCCACACCGCGAGGUAGAGCUAAACCCAAAAAGCCGGUCUAAGUUCAGAUUGGAGUCUGCAACUCGACUCCAUGAAGGAGGAAUCGCUAGUAAUCGC
This 285-nucleotide ribosomal RNA is filed under the name uncultured Methylomirabilota bacterium. RNAcentral describes it as "uncultured candidate division NC10 bacterium partial 16S ribosomal RNA". It matches the Rfam family "Bacterial small subunit ribosomal RNA", at positions 1060 to 1345 of the family's 1533-position model. Lineage: Bacteria; Methylomirabilota (SeqCode). The record is from RNAcentral.